UCCCUCUCUAUUUUCCCCUAUAAAUUUCUACAGGCAACUGUUUUCCAUCCAUAUUUCGCCGCAUUUGUAUGAAAUAAAUCAUACAGAGAAAAAGAAAAAAAAUGGAAGCACCAUCUCCACAACAGAUUUCAUAUUAUGAAGAAGUUAAAAAACGCCACGACGACAAAGGCUUCCUCUAUGCCUGUUUGUUUGCACUUUUUUGUUGCUGCUGCUGUUACGAGACAUGCGAAUGCUGUUGUUGCUGUGGUUAGAACUAUAUAUCAUCCAAUCCAAGUCCAAGAAGCUCGCAGUUUGUUCUCGAGAGGCAAUCCUUCAAAUAAAUUCACCUUCCUUCACACUAAUAGCUUCAAUCUGUUUGUUGUGUAUUUCAACUCUCAAUUUCUUUUCUGGAUCUUGAAUUUUUAUUUUUAUUUUUUUGCACAUUGUUUUACCUACUGAUUUUCAUUGAAUUUUAUUUUGUUAUAAAAUAUUUUCAGAUUUGGUACAUUAAUGAUUGAAAUAAUAUAAACAUAACUGUUGACUCUUUUGCAA
Gossypium raimondii (Peruvian cotton) is the source of this 531-nucleotide RNA transcript. RefSeq lists it as uncharacterized. The transcript has 2 exons. Lineage: Eukaryota; Viridiplantae; Streptophyta; Magnoliopsida; Malvales; Malvaceae. The record is from RefSeq and is a predicted model, not a curated record.